This 771-nucleotide small RNA is filed under the name Histoplasma ohiense. RNAcentral's name for it is "hypothetical lncRNA". Lineage: Eukaryota; Fungi; Ascomycota; Eurotiomycetes; Onygenales; Ajellomycetaceae. The record is from RNAcentral.
GACACACUUGCGGACUAUAGCCAAUGCUGAUACAUGCACCUCCGUGGUGUAUAUGCACAGUUCAUACUGUACACGCCGCUGGAAACGUCAUGAGGGAUCUGUCCCAGGUCGAUAUAAAUAUAGCCACAUAGCCGGCUGUUUCCCCUCGAGAAUGCAGCCUGCGGGGAACACAUUGCAAGGGCAGAACGGGCAUUGCUUAAAAUCCCAGUUGAGGGGCAACAUGGUUUAACGUCAGCCCUGGUUCUCACACCAGAUCUGCGGGCAUCCGCUCCAUAGGUUUGCAUAUUGACGAUCAAAUGAGGCGUCCGCUGGCCAUGUUGGCGAGAUAGAGUUUGGCGAUACGAAUCCUACUUACCCCGAGAGCUCUGUCGAUAUACAAAGCAACAUAGCGAUUAGUUAGUGGUAUUAUUCCCAGGUUUAGCAAGGAUUGUCAUCUUUCAUCAGCUGCUGGGCGUCAAUGUGAUAAUGGCAGGGCAUCUUGUUGUCCCAUGUCCGUGAUGUUCAUGAUGUUCAUGAAUCAAAGGGAAGUUUUAAUUCCUGCAUAGCCGAUUCAUCCAUUCUACUUUGGCAUGUCAUUCUCCACGCCUCCCAUGAAGAGAGAAAAAAAAAACAAAGACGGAUUUAUAUUGCAUUCUGGAGGGAUGCGCUAGUCUACUAAUCUCAGUGUCUGGGUUGUCACGAAAACCCAGUCCGAAGCGCUUCGUGAAGUAUGUCCAUGGUUUAGCAUGCAUGAGGCCCCCUAUUUUGUGCUACGGGAGAGAAAAAAGAGAG